AGAGAAACAUAAAACAAAGUAUAGAUUCCACCGGCCAAAGCUUUGGAGUAUACGUACGUUAAAUGAACAGGCGACGCUAUAAAAUGAUGGGAUUAGGAAAAGCGAAAUGGGCCUCUCUAUUGCUUUGGCAACCUCUUUUGCUUGUCUCUUAUUAGCAUCCUCAGCUAAAAGAUAGUAACAUGCAGUCGUAUAAAUGACUCAUUC
RNAcentral lists this long non-coding RNA (204 nucleotides) under Capsella rubella. RNAcentral's name for it is "long non-coding RNA (CRUB_LNC002847)". The record is from RNAcentral. Lineage: Eukaryota; Viridiplantae; Streptophyta; Magnoliopsida; Brassicales; Brassicaceae.